GAAAUGCGAUAAGUAAUGUGAAUUGCAGAAUUCAGUGAAUCAUCGAAUCUUUGAACGCACAUUGCGCCUAUUAGUAUUCUAGUAGGCAUGCCUGUCCGAGCGUUAUUUCAACCAUCAAGCCCCCGGGCUUGUGUUGGGGACCUGCGGCUGCCCGCAGGCCCUGAAAACCAGUGGCGGGCUCGCUGUCACACCGAGCGUAGUAGCAAUCACCUCGCUCAGGGCGUGCUGCGGGUUCCGGCCGUUAAACAGCCUUACAAAACCCAAGGUUGACCUCGGAUCAGGUAGGAAGACCCGCUGAACUUAAGC
Molecule: unclassified non-coding RNA, 306 nt
Filed under: plant metagenome
Description: partial contains 5.8S ribosomal RNA, internal transcribed spacer 2, and large subunit ribosomal RNA
Rfam family: 5.8S ribosomal RNA (bases 1-105)
Source: RNAcentral